This 254-nucleotide ribosomal RNA is filed under the name uncultured bacterium. RNAcentral's name for it is "partial 16S ribosomal RNA". It matches the Rfam family "Bacterial small subunit ribosomal RNA", at positions 524 to 776 of the family's 1533-position model. The record is from RNAcentral.
UACGGGGGGAGCAAGCGUUGUUCGGAUUUACUGGGCGUAAAGGGCGCGUAGGCGGCCACCGCAAGUCGACUGUGAAAUCUCCGGGCUUAACCCGGAAAGGUCAGCCGAUACUGCGGGGCUAGAGUGCAGAAGGGGCAACUGGAAUUCUCGGUGUAGCGGUGAAAUGCGUAGAUAUCGAGAGGAACACCUGCGGCGAAGGCGGCCCUCUGGACCGGUACUGACGCUGAUGCGCGAAAGCGUGGGGAGCAAACGGG